CUCUUAUUGACGAGUCCCAAACAGGACGAAACGCGCGUCCUGGAU
Molecule: non-coding RNA, 45 nt
Organism: Schistosoma curassoni
Lineage: Eukaryota; Metazoa; Platyhelminthes; Trematoda; Strigeidida; Schistosomatidae
Source: Rfam